Molecule: unclassified non-coding RNA, 267 nt
Filed under: uncultured fungus
Lineage: Eukaryota; Fungi
Description: partial contains 5.8S ribosomal RNA, internal transcribed spacer 2, and large subunit ribosomal RNA
Rfam family: 5.8S ribosomal RNA (bases 1-52)
Source: RNAcentral
AACGCACCUUGCGCCCUCUGGUAUUCCGGAGGGCAUGCCUGUUUGAGUGUCAUGAAACUCUCAACCCCCCGGGUUUUACGAUCCGUCGGGUUGGACUUGGGCGCUGCCGCUUUGUUGCCGGCUCGCCUUAAAGGUCUCAGUGGGAUAGUCGGACCCAUGGCUUGGCGUGAUAAGUUUCGCCUCGCCCGUGGCCGACGAUGUCUGCUUACAACACCCCAUAUUCAAUGAUCUGACCUCAAAUCAGGUAGGGCUACCCGCUGAACUUAA